RNAcentral lists this ribosomal RNA (460 nucleotides) under uncultured bacterium. Its description in RNAcentral is "partial 16S ribosomal RNA". It matches the Rfam family "Bacterial small subunit ribosomal RNA", at positions 338 to 795 of the family's 1533-position model. The record is from RNAcentral.
CCUACGGGUGGCUGCAGUGAGGAAUAUUGGUCAAUGGGCGCGAGCCUGAACCAGCCAAGUCGCGUGAAGGAUGACUGUUCUACGGGUUGUAAACCUCUUUUAUAAGGGAAUAAAGUGAGGCACGUGUGCUUUUUUGUAUGUACUUUAUGAAUAAGGAUCGGCUAACUCCGUGCCAGCAGCCGCGGUAAUACGGAGGAUCCGAGCGUUAUCCGGAUUUAUUGGGUUUAAAGGGAGCGUAGAUGGGUUGUUAAGUCAGUGGUGAAAGUUUGGGGCUCAACCGUAAAAUUGCAAUUGAUACUGGCAGUCUUGAGUGCAGGUGAGGUAGGCGGAAUUCGUGGUGUAGCGGUGAAAUGCUUAGAUAUCACGAAGAACACCGAUUGCGAAGGCAGCUUACUAGACUGCAACUGACAUUGAUGCUCGAAAGUGUGGGUAUCAAACAGGAUUAGAUACCCCUGUAGUC